UACAGAGGUCUCAAGCGUUGUUCGGAUUCAUUGGGCGUAAAGGGUGCGUAGGCGGCGCGGUAAGUCGGGUGUGAAAUCUCGGAGCUUAACUCCGAAACUGCAUUCGAUACUGCCGUGCUUGAGGACUGGAGAGGAGACUGGAAUUUACGGUGUAGCGGUGAAAUGCGUAGAUAUCUGGAGGAACACCGGUGGCGAAGGCGGCAUCCUGGACCGGUAUUGACGCUGAGGCGCGAAAGCUAGGGGAGCAAACGGG
RNAcentral lists this ribosomal RNA (253 nucleotides) under uncultured bacterium. RNAcentral describes it as "partial 16S ribosomal RNA". It matches the Rfam family "Bacterial small subunit ribosomal RNA", at positions 524 to 776 of the family's 1533-position model. The record is from RNAcentral.